GACGAACGCUGGCGGCGUGCUUAACACAUGCAAGUCGAACGGAAAGGCCCUGCUUUUGUGGGGUGCUCGAGUGGCGAACGGGUGAGUAACACGUGAGUAACCUGCCCUUGACUUUGGGAUAAAUUCAGGAAACUGGGUCUAAUACCGGAUAGGAGCUCCUGCUGCAUGGUGGGGGUUGGAAAGUUUCGGCGGUUGGGGAUGGACUCGCGGCUUAUCAGCUUGGUGGUGGGGUAGUGGCUUACCAGGGCUUUGACGGGUAUCAGGCCUGAGAGGGUGACCGGCCACAUUGGUACUGGAACCAGGCCCAGACCCCUACGGGGGGCAGAAGUGGGGAAAAUUGCAGAAUGGGCCGAAGCCUGAUGAAGCAACCCCGCGGGCGGAAUGACGGCCUUGGGUUGGAAACCCGCUUUCGCAUGUGACGAAGCGUGAGUGACGGUAAUGGGUAAAGAAGCACCGGCUAACUACGUG
Molecule: ribosomal RNA, 468 nt
Filed under: uncultured bacterium
Lineage: Bacteria
Description: partial 16S ribosomal RNA
Rfam family: Bacterial small subunit ribosomal RNA
Source: RNAcentral